This is a long non-coding RNA of Stylophora pistillata, 1345 nucleotides long. The record is from RefSeq and is a predicted model, not a curated record. Lineage: Eukaryota; Metazoa; Cnidaria; Anthozoa; Scleractinia; Pocilloporidae.
ACUGCAAUGUAAUAGCAUCCCGUCCUGGGGGAUUAGGUGGAUAGAUGGGACACUAGAUUGCAGAUCUUAUUCUUCACUUUCAAGUAUUCUCUUAUUCUUCACUUUCAACUUGAAGUGGACUCAUACAUUUUAAGGCUCUUUUUGCAAUAGAGAUGUUGUGGAUCAACUGUUGUUAUCUAGCAACUCGUGUAACUUGUGCCUAGCUUUUAAGAACCAGACACAGUUGAUUUUUGAGACAGGAGUUGUUAGGGGCCCAGUGAUUAUUCUAAUAGUACAGCUGUGUUUUUGUUAUGUAGUGUGGUUAAUCUGAAACUCCACAACAAAACCAAUUUGUGCCAGAGGACCUGUGUUUCCUAAAUCUAAAUGUCUAAUUAGUAAAGGGUAAUACAGCCCAUCUUUCAGCAGAUAUGAACACCCACCCAUCCCACCCCAGAGGAAGACAUCCACCACACACUAAUCUCCUUCGUGGAAAAUUAACGUCUUCUAUCCCUAACCCUACAGGAGACAGGGCCUAUAUAAAAUUGGUUCAUAUCUCUAAAUGGGGGCUGCAGAGUGUAGUGUAAUUUUGGGCAUUGAGUGCGCAACAGUUUCUGGAUGAAAAUUAUAGCUGCUAUCUUUGAUUUGAAGGUUGGGGAGAGCAUGAGAUUUGUACCGAGGGGGGCGACUGACAGUAAAAAGAAAUGGAGGGGGGAGAUGAUGGGGCAAUGAAAGGUUGGGACUUCUGAAAAGUUUUGUUAAAAUAUAAUAUUUUGGUUACAAAUGCUCUCUGUUACAAUUUCAGUUUAAUACCAUCACUUUACAAAGAACUUAAAGCUGAAGGGGUUGAGUUUUCUGACAGCAGACAAUUGAGUUGUCUCUUCAAGAAGCAGAAGCAGGCAAGGCCCGGAAUGCGUGCGGGGGAACGGAUACUACACUGGUUUUGGGAAAUCUCUCCUGUAUUAAGCACUACCACUCGUGCUUGAUCUUACCUCACAAGAGGCUGGUCGUAUCGUCAUUGUUGUCUCACCAUUGGGGUAAGCCUUAUGAACGACCAAGUGUCCCAUUUGAGGGAGCUAGGGCUAAAAGCAGGUAACAUAAGUUCACUUGAGGGUGGUAAACGCACUCGUGUUGAAAGCGGCGAAUAUUCCUUAGUUUACGGAUCCCCUGAAGCGUGGUUAAAGAACGAACGCUGGAGAUUUAUGCUAACGAAUUCUGUGUAUUCCAUAAAACUCUGUGCCAUUGCUGUCGAUGAAGCGCAUGUUGUAAGACAGUGGUAAGUGUUUAAAUAAAAAUGAGUCUGCACCAAAAUGUUAUGUUACAUGUAUGUUUUAAAUUAAGCAGUAUAAAGGAAAGGACAAUAAGAAUG